This 253-nucleotide ribosomal RNA is filed under the name uncultured bacterium. RNAcentral describes it as "partial 16S ribosomal RNA". It matches the Rfam family "Bacterial small subunit ribosomal RNA", at positions 524 to 776 of the family's 1533-position model. The record is from RNAcentral.
UACGUAGGGUGCGAGCGUUGUCCGGAAUUAUUGGGCGUAAAGAGCUCGUAGGCGGUUUGUCGCGUCGGCCGUGAAAACUUGGGGCUUAACCCCAAGCCUGCGGUCGAUACGGGCAGACUUGAGUUCGGCAGGGGAGACUGGAAUUCCUGGUGUAGCGGUGAAAUGCGCAGAUAUCAGGAGGAACACCGGUGGCGAAGGCGGGUCUCUGGGCCGUAACUGACGCUGAGGAGCGAAAGCGUGGGGAGCGAACAGG